AACGAACGCUGGCGGCAUGCCUAACACAUGCAAGUCGAACGAGACCUUCCUGUCUAGUUGCGCUCGUGUGCGUAACGCGUGGGAACCUGCCCUUAGGUUCGGAAUAACUCCCCGAAAGGUGUGCUAAUACCAGUUAAUGUCUUCGCACCAAAGAUUUCUCGCCUUUGGAUGGGCCCGCGUUGGAUUAGCUGGUUGGUAGGGUAAAAGCCUACCAAGGCGACGAUCCAUAGCUGGUCUGAGAGGAUGAUCAGCCACAAUGGCACUGAGACACGGCCUAGAAUGGGACGGGAGGCAGGAGUGGGGAAUAUAGGAGAAGGGGCGAAAGCCUGAUAAAGCAAUGCCGGGGGAGUGAUGAAGGGCGUAGGGUUGUAAAGCUGUUUGACCCGGGAUGAGAAUGACAGUACCGGGAGAAGAAGCUCCGGCUAACUCCGUG
Molecule: ribosomal RNA, 433 nt
Filed under: uncultured bacterium
Lineage: Bacteria
Description: partial 16S ribosomal RNA
Rfam family: Bacterial small subunit ribosomal RNA
Source: RNAcentral